CCAGACUCCUACGGGAGGCAGCAGUGGGGAAUAUUGCACAAUGGGGGGAACCCUGAUGCAGCAAUGCCGCGUGAAGGAUGAAGGUUUUCGGAUUGUAAACUUCUUUUGUACGGGACGAAGAAAGUGACGGUACCUGAAGAAGAAGCCCCGGCUAACUACGUGCCAGCAGCCGCGGUAAUACGUAGGGGGCAAGCGUUAUCCGGAUUUACUGGGUGUAAAGGGGGCGCAGACGGCGAUGCAAGCCAGGAGUGAAAGCCCGGGGCCCAACCCCGGGACUGCUCUUGGAACUGCGUGGCUAGAGUGCAGGAGGGGCAGGCGGAAUUCCUGGUGUAGCGGUGAAAUGCGUAGAUAUCAGGAGGAACACCGGUGGCGAAGGCGGCCUGCUGGACUGCAACUGACGUUGAGGCCCGAAAGCGUGGGGAGCAAACAGGAUUAGAUACCCUAGUA
Molecule: ribosomal RNA, 447 nt
Filed under: uncultured bacterium
Lineage: Bacteria
Description: partial 16S ribosomal RNA
Rfam family: Bacterial small subunit ribosomal RNA
Source: RNAcentral